CUACGGGAGGCUGCAGUGGGGAAUAUUGGACAAUGGGCGAAAGCCUGAUCCAGCCAUGCCGCGUGUGUGAAGAAGGCCUUCGGGUUGUAAAGCACUUUCAGUGGGGAAGAAAGCCUUGGGGCUAAUACCCUCGAGGAAGGACAUCACCCACAGAAGAAGCACCGGCUAACUCCGUGCCAGCAGCCGCGGUAAUACGGAGGGUGCGAGCGUUAAUCGGAAUUACUGGGCGUAAAGCGCGCGUAGGCGGUCUGAUAAGCCGGUUGUGAAAGACCCGGGCUCAACCUGGGAACGGCAUCCGGGCGGUGAGGCUGGAGUGCAGAAGAGGAAAGAAGAAUUCACUGUGUAGCGGUGAAAUGAGUAGAGAUAGGGAGGAAUAACAGUGGAGAAGGAGAACUUCUGGACUGUAAAUGAAGCUGAGGUUCGAAAGAGGGGGUAGCAAACAGGAUUAGAGACCCCUGUAGUA
This 463-nucleotide ribosomal RNA is filed under the name Vreelandella stevensii. RNAcentral's name for it is "partial 16S ribosomal RNA". It matches the Rfam family "Bacterial small subunit ribosomal RNA", at positions 339 to 795 of the family's 1533-position model. Lineage: Bacteria; Pseudomonadati; Pseudomonadota; Gammaproteobacteria; Oceanospirillales; Halomonadaceae. The record is from RNAcentral.